Molecule: ribosomal RNA, 472 nt
Filed under: uncultured bacterium
Lineage: Bacteria
Description: bacterial SSU rRNA
Rfam family: Bacterial small subunit ribosomal RNA
Source: RNAcentral
UGGGGAAUUUUGGACAAUGGGGGAAAGCCUGAUCCAGCCAUGCCGCGUGUGUGAAGAAGGUCUUCGGAUUGUAAAGCACUUUAAGUUGGGAGGAAGGGCAGUUACCUAAUACGUGAUUGUUUUGACGUUACCGACAGAAUAAGCACCGGCUAACUCUGUGCCAGCAGCCGCGGUAAUACAGAGGGUGCAAGCGUUAAUCGGAAUUACUGGGCGUAAAGCGCGCGUAGGUGGUUAGUUAAGUUGGAUGUGAAAUCCCCGGGCUCAACCUGGGAACUGCAUUCAAAACUGACUGACUAGAGUAUGGUAGAGGGUGGUGGAAUUUCCUGUGUAGCGGUGAAAUGCGUAGAUAUAGGAAGGAACACCAGUGGCGAAGGCGACCACCUGGACUGAUACUGACACUGAGGUGCGAAAGCGUGGGGAGCAAACAGGAUUAGAUACCCAAGUAGUCCCUGAGCGGGCUGGCAAGGCGCAU